Molecule: long non-coding RNA, 392 nt
Filed under: Monodelphis domestica (gray short-tailed opossum)
Lineage: Eukaryota; Metazoa; Chordata; Mammalia; Didelphimorphia; Didelphidae
Description: lncRNA (ENSMODG00000042780.1)
Source: RNAcentral
CUGGACUCUCCAUUCUGGUCAACCUCAUCUCCCAUCCCCACCCCCCCCAACCCAAGGAUGCCAUGAGUCAGAGACUCACAGACAAAAGGCUGAGAAACCCUAGAUCCAUGUUGCUGAACCUAUGGCACAUAUGCCUGAGGGGGCUGUCUCAUCUUGCCUGAGGACAUUUCUCAUAUGACCCACCUCUCCACCCAGAAGCCCAAUGGGAGUGCUUCCUCCCUCCCCUGUCUGAGGUAAGUAGGCAGCUCACAUGCUGCAUGAGGGUUGCAGUUUGGACCCUCAGUCUCUAAAAGGUCCACCAUCACUGCCCUAGUUUCUACAGGUAUUAUUACAGGCAGCAAUGCUGUAAUGAAAGGAGACUUUGAUACAGAGUCAAGAAAAUUGGCUUCCAG